RNAcentral lists this microRNA precursor (88 nucleotides) under Salmo salar (Atlantic salmon). RNAcentral's name for it is "mir-204 microRNA precursor family". It matches the Rfam family "mir-204 microRNA precursor family". Lineage: Eukaryota; Metazoa; Chordata; Actinopteri; Salmoniformes; Salmonidae. The record is from Rfam by way of RNAcentral. RNAcentral also lists the same sequence under 1 other name.
CUGUGACCUGUGGGUUUCCCUUUGUCAUCCUAUGCCUGGAGAUCGUGAUAAGGCAGGGACAGCAAAGGGAUGCUCAGCUUUCACCUCU